AGAGUUUGAUUCUGGCUCAGGAUGAACGCUAGCUACAGGCUUAACACAUGCAAGUCGAGGGGCAUCAGGAAGAAAGCUUGCUUUCUUUGCUGGCGACCGGCGCACGGGUGAGUAACACGUAUCCAACCUGCCCUUUACUCGGGGAUAGCCUUUCGAAAGAAAGAUUAAUACCCGAUAGCAUAAUGAUUCCGCAUGGUUUCAUUAUUAAAGGAUUCCGGUAAAGGAUGGGGAUGCGUUCCAUUAGGUUGUUGGUGGGGUAACGGCCCACCAAGCCUUCGAUGGAUAGGGGUUCUGAGAGGAAGGUCCCCCACAUUGGAACUGAGACACGGUCCAAACUCCUACGGGAGGCAGCAGUGAGGAAUAUUGGUCAAUGGGCGCUAGCCUGAACCAGCCAAGUAGCGUGAAGGAUGAAGGCUCUAUGGGUCGUAAACUUCUUUUAUAUAAGAAUAAAGUGCAGUAUGUAUACUGUUUUGUAUGUAUUAUAUGAAUAAGGAUCGGCUAACUCCGUGCCAGCAGCCGCGGUAAUACGGAGGAUCCGAGCGUUAUCCGGAUUUAUUGGGUUUAAAGGGAGCGUAGGUGGACUGGUAAGUCAGUUGUGAAAGUUUGCGGCUCAACCGUAAAAUUGCAGUUGAUACUGUCAGUCUUGAGUACAGUAGAGGUGGGCGGAAUUCGUGGUGUAGCGGUGAAAUGCUUAGAUAUCACGAAGAACUCCGAUUGCGAAGGCAGCUCACUGGACUGCAACUGACACUGAUGCUCGAAAGUGUGGGUAUCAAACAGGAUUAGAUACCCUGGUAGUCCACACAGUAAACGAAGAAUACUCGCUGUUUGCGAUAUACAGUAAGCGGCCAAGCGAAAGCAAUAAGUAUUCCUCCUGGGGAGUACGCCGGCAACGGUGAAACUCAAAGGAAUAGACGGGGGCCCGCACAAGCGGAGGAACAUGUGGUUUAAUUCGAUGAUACGCGAGGAACCUUACCCGGGCUUAAAUUGCAGUGGAAUGAUGUGGAAACAUGUCAGUGAGCAAUCACCGCUGUGAAGGUGCUGCAUGGUUGUUGUCAGCUCGUGCCGUGAGGUGUCGGCUUAAGUGCCAUAACGAGCGCAACCCUUAUCUUCAGUUACUAACAGGUCAUGCUGAGGACUCUGGAGAGACUGCCGUCGUAAGAUGUGAGGAAGGUGGGGAGGACGUCAAAUCAGCACGGCCCUUACGUCCGGGGCUACACACGUGUUACAAUGGGGGGUACAGAAGGCAGCUAGCGGGUGGCCGUAUGCUAAUCCCAAAAGCCUCUCUCAGUUCGGAUCGAAGUCUGCAACCCGACUUCGUGAAGCUGGAUUCGCUAGUAAUCGCGCAUCAGCCACGGCGCGGUGAAUAAAAUCCCGGGCCUUGCACA
Molecule: ribosomal RNA, 1385 nt
Filed under: uncultured bacterium
Lineage: Bacteria
Description: bacterial SSU rRNA
Rfam family: Bacterial small subunit ribosomal RNA
Source: RNAcentral